RNAcentral lists this ribosomal RNA (896 nucleotides) under uncultured bacterium. RNAcentral describes it as "bacterial SSU rRNA". It matches the Rfam family "Bacterial small subunit ribosomal RNA", at positions 28 to 916 of the family's 1533-position model. The record is from RNAcentral.
AACGAACGCCGGCGGCGCGUUUUAAGCAUGCAAGUCGAACGGUAGAGUUCCCUCGGGAACUUGAGAGUGGCGAACGGGUGAGUAACACGUAGAUGAUCUGCCUUGAAGUUGGGGAUAGCCUAUAGAAAUAUGGGGUAAUACCGGAUAAUACCUUAGAACUCUGGUUUUUUGGUGAAAGGGCUUCGGCCUCGCUUUAAGAUGAGUCUGCGGUCUAUUAGCUAGUUGGUAGGGUAAGAGCCUACCAAGGCGACGAUAGAUAGCCGGCCUGAAAGGGUGACCGGCCACAUUGGGACUGAGACACGGCCCAAACUCCUACGGGAGGCAGCAGCUAAGAAUCUUCCGCAAUGGGCGCAAGCCUGACGGAGCGACGCCGCGUGGACGAAGAAUGCCGAGAGGUUGUAAAGUCCUUUUAUUUGCGAAGAAUAAUGCCUGUAGGUAAUGACAGGCAGAUGACGUUAGCUUAUGAAUAAGCUCCGGCCAAUUACGUGCCAGCAGCCGCGGUAACACGUAAGGAGCGAGCGUUGUUCGGAAUUAUUGGGCGUAAAGGGCAUGUAGGCGGUUACAUAAGUCUGAUGUGAAAUACUACAGCUUAACUGUGGGAACGCAUUGGAAACUGUGUGACUUGAAUCUGUGAGGGGUAACUGGAAUUCCUAGUGUAGGGGUGAAAUCUGUUGAUAUUAGGAAGAACACCGAUGGCGAAGGCAAGUUACUGGCACAUGAUUGACGCUGAGAUGCGAAAGCGUAGGGAGCGAACAGGAUUAGAUACCCUGGUAGUCUACGCUGUAAACGAUGUGCACUUGGUGUCGGGGUUUCUAAGCCUCGGUGCCGUAGCUAACGCGUUAAGUGCACCGCCUGGGGAGUACGGUCGCAAGGCUGAAACUCAAAGGAAUUGACGG